CCUACGGGGAGCAGCAGUGGGGAAUAUUGGGCAAUGGGCGCAAGCCUGACCCAGCAACGCCGCGUGAAGGAAGAAGGCUUUCGGGUUGUAAACUUCUUUUAAGAGGGAAGAGCAGAAGACGGUACCUCUUGAAUAAGCCACGGCUAACUACGUGCCAGCAGCCGAGGUAAUACGUAGGUGGCAAGCGUUGUCCGGAUUUACUGGGUGUAAAGGUCGUAUAGGCGGGAGAGCAAGUCAGACGUGAAAUUCCAGGCCUCAACCCUGGAACUGCGUUUGAAACUGUUCUUCUUGAGGGAUGGAGAGGCAGGCGGAAUGCCGGGUGUAGCGGGGAAAUGCGUAGAUAUACGGAGGAACACCGGUGGCGAAGGCGGCCUGCUGGACAUUAACUGACGCUGAGGCGCGAAAGCGUGGGGAGCAAACAGGAUUAGAUACCCCUGUAGUC
Molecule: ribosomal RNA, 442 nt
Filed under: uncultured bacterium
Lineage: Bacteria
Description: partial 16S ribosomal RNA
Rfam family: Bacterial small subunit ribosomal RNA
Source: RNAcentral